This 402-nucleotide long non-coding RNA is filed under the name Triticum aestivum (bread wheat). Its description in RNAcentral is "long non-coding RNA (TAES_LNC025629)". Lineage: Eukaryota; Viridiplantae; Streptophyta; Magnoliopsida; Poales; Poaceae. The record is from RNAcentral.
UGCAGAGCAGCAGAGAGUGGGAUGGCGGCGGCGCCCUAGCUAGGUCACACUCCGUCCGGCGCAUCCAUCCGCUCCCCUCCGUCCUCCGUCCUCCGUCGCGCACACCGGCAUCGCCAUCCUCCGCUCUCCGUCGUCCGUCGCGUGCAUCAGCCUCGCCGUCCUCCGCCCUCCGUCGUACAUCGCACGCACCGGCGUUGCCGACUUCUGCCCUCCGACCUCCGCGUCGCUGACCUCCACCCUCCGUCGCGCGCACCGGCACACGCCUCCACGGAGCAGGACACGAGCCGCCGGAUGGUAAGGCACUUUCGAUUCGCUCUGGUAGAAGAGUUGUUCAGUAGCGAACACACACAUAGAUGUGAUGACUUGCAGUAGCAUCUUCCCGACUGCAGGUUCUUCUGGGCU